UACCAGCACCCCGAGUGGUCGGGACGAUUAUUGGGCCUAAAGGAUCCGUAGCCGGCCUUACAAGUCCUCCGUUAAAUCCAGCUGCUUAACAGAUGGGCUGCGGAGGAUACUAUAAGACUAGGAGGCAGGAGAGGCAAGCGGUACUCAGUGGGUAGGGGUAAAAUCCGUUGAUCCAUUGAAGACCACCAGUGGCGAAGGCGGCUUGCCAGAAUGCGCUAGACGGUGAGGGAUGAAAGCUGGGGGAGCAAACCGG
This 253-nucleotide ribosomal RNA is filed under the name uncultured bacterium. Its description in RNAcentral is "partial 16S ribosomal RNA". It matches the Rfam family "Archaeal small subunit ribosomal RNA", at positions 474 to 727 of the family's 1478-position model. The record is from RNAcentral.